UGGGGAAUCUUGGACAAUGGGCGCAAGCCUGAUCCAGCCAUGCCGCGUGGAUGAUGAAGGCCUUAGGGUUGUAAAAUCCUUUCGUUGGGGACGAUAAUGACGGUACCUGGAGAAUAAGCCCCGGCAAACUUCGUGCCAGCAGCCGCGGUAAUACGAAGGGGGCUAGCGUUGUUCGGAAUUACUGGGCGUAAAGCGCACGUAGGCGGAUUGUUAAGUCAGAGGUGAAAUCCCGGAGCUCAACUUCGGAACUGCCUUUGAUACUGGCAAUCUAGAGUCCGGAAGAGGUUAGUGGAAUUCCCAGUGUAGAGGUGAAAUUCGUAGAUAUUGGGAAGAACACCAGUGGCGAAGGCGGCUAACUGGUCCGGUACUGACGCUGAGGUGCGAAAGCGUGGGGAGCAAACAGGAUUAGAUACCCGGGUAGUCCCUGAGCGGGCUGGCAAGGCGCAU
Molecule: ribosomal RNA, 447 nt
Filed under: uncultured bacterium
Lineage: Bacteria
Description: bacterial SSU rRNA
Rfam family: Bacterial small subunit ribosomal RNA
Source: RNAcentral